CAGCUCAGGACGAACGCUGGCGGCGUGCUUAACACAUGCAAGUCGAACGAUGAAGCUGGAGCUUGCUCUGGUGGAUUAGUGGCGAACGGGUGAGUAACACGUGAGUAACCUGCCCUGAACUCUGGGAUAAGCGUUGGAAACGACGUCUAAUACCGGAUAGGACCUUGGAUCGCAUGAUCUGGGGUGGAAAGUUUUUCGGUUUGGGAUGGACUCGCGGCCUAUCAGCUUGUUGGUGAGGUAAUGGCUCACCAAGGCGUCGACGGGUAGCCGGCCUGAGAGGGUGACCGGCCACACUGGGACUGAGACACGGCCCAGACUCCUACGGGAGGCAGCAGUGGGGAAUAUUGCACAAUGGGCGCAAGCCUGAUGCAGCAACGCCGCGUGCGGGAUGACGGCCUUCGGGUUGUAAACCGCUUUUAGUAGGGAAGAAGGGCUUCGGCUUGACGGUACCUGCAGAAAAAGGACCGGCUAACUACGUGCCAGCAGCCGCGGUAAUACGUAGGGUCCGAGCGUUGUCCGGAAUUAUUGGGCGUAAAGAGCUCGUAGGCGGUUUGUCGCGUCUGCUGUGAAAACUAGAGGCUCAACCUCUAGCCUGCAGUGGGUACGGGCAGACUUGAGUGCGGUAGGGGAGAAUGGAAUUCCUGGUGUAGCGGUGGAAUGCGCAGAUAUCAGGAGGAACACCGAUGGCGAAGGCAGUUCUCUGGGCCGUAACUGACGCUGAGGAGCGAAAGCGUGGGGAGCGAACAGGAUUAGAUACCCUGGUAGUCCACGCCGUAAACGUUGGGCGCUAGAUGUGGGGACCU
This 803-nucleotide ribosomal RNA is filed under the name Agromyces sp. RNAcentral's name for it is "bacterial SSU rRNA". It matches the Rfam family "Bacterial small subunit ribosomal RNA", at positions 20 to 831 of the family's 1533-position model. Lineage: Bacteria; Bacillati; Actinomycetota; Actinomycetes; Micrococcales; Microbacteriaceae. The record is from RNAcentral.